GACGAACGCUGGCGGCGUGCCUAACACAUGCAAGUCGAACGGGGCUCUUUGGAUCGAGACUUCGGUCAAGUGAAUCUGAGCUUAGUGGCGGACGGGUGAGUAACGCGUAGGUAACCUGCCUGGUAGCGGGGGAUAACUAUUGGAGACGAUAGCUAAUACCGCAUAAAAUUGAUUAUUGCAUGAUAAUUAAUUGAAAGAUGCAAUUGCAUCACUACCAGAUGGACCUGCGUUGUAUUAGCUAGUUGGUGAGGUAACGGCUCACCAAGGCGACGAUACAUAGCCGACCUGAGAGGGUGAUCGGCCACACUGGGACUGGGACACGGCCCAG
Molecule: ribosomal RNA, 328 nt
Filed under: uncultured bacterium
Lineage: Bacteria
Description: bacterial SSU rRNA
Rfam family: Bacterial small subunit ribosomal RNA
Source: RNAcentral